This is a long non-coding RNA of Bos taurus (domestic cattle), 1506 nucleotides long. The record is from Ensembl. Lineage: Eukaryota; Metazoa; Chordata; Mammalia; Artiodactyla; Bovidae.
GGCCAAGUCAUAUCGGACUUUUCUCAAUCCCCCGGACUGCAGCAUGCCAGGCUUCCUUGUUCCUCAUCGUCUCCUGGAGUUUGCUCAAAUUCAUGUCCAUUGACUUGGACAGUCAGUUGUUUGAUACAUGGUUCUAACUGUUGCUUCUUGACCUGCAUACAGGUUUCUCAGGAGACAGGGAGAGAUCAAGAUGACAGAGGAUAUGGAGCUCACCUUCCUCCAUGAACACGUCAAAAAUAUAUCUACAUGUGGGACAAUUACCACUGACAAUUAACUGGAAACUGGGAGAGGACUCCUAUACUACCAAGGCUGCAAGAAAGAUCCAGCUACAAUCAGGUAGAAAGGAAAGAAAAGUAAUCAAGUAGAGACCUGUGUCCCUGAGGGAGGACUCAGAAGAGGAGGGGCAUUAGGGUGGUGUCAUCUGCAUAUCUGAGGUUAUUGAUAUUUCUCCCAGCAAUUUUGAUUCCAGCUUGUGCUUCAUCCAGCCCAGCGUUUCUCAUGAUGUAUUCUGCAGAUAAGUUAAAUAGGCAAGGUGACAAUAUACAGCCUUGACAUACUCCUUUCCCUAUUUGGAAGCAGUCUGUUGUUCCAUGUCCAGUUCUUCUUGACCUGCAUACAGAUUUCUCAGGAGGCAGGUGAUCUUUCUGACCCAGGGAUUUAACCUGGGUCUCCUGAAUUUCUGCUGGGAGAUUCUUUACCAUCUGAGCCACUGGGGAAUGUGCUUGUAUUUAAAUGACUGCCAGUUUAAAACAAGCAGAUAUAGUUAUAGGUCAGUAUAUAUGAACCCCAUAGAAAGGACAAAUCAAAAGCCUACAAUAGAUAUACAAAGCCUAGAGAGAAAGGAACAUAAGCAUACCAGUAAAGAAAAUCAUCAAACCACAAGGGAAGAAACUAAAAGAAGAAAAAAAAAGAGAAAAACUACAAAAACAAGCAGAAAACAAGCAGCAAAAUGGCAAUACUGAAACCCCAGCAGGUGGAGGAAGUUAAACACAUGAUGACCAGACAGUAGCCGUGACAUAAGCUGCCACAAUUCUGAGAAUUGGCCUCAAGGAAAUGGAAACAAACCGGCCCUGGAACUGAAGACUAAUUGUACUUAAAACAAUCACCACAUGACCAACUUUAAGAAGACUGGCGGAGCUGACUGUGUCUGCAUGAAGCCCCCUCUGUCUAUAAAAGCUCUUGCCCACUGCUUGUCAGUGGGGGGUGUCAGCCUUUGGACUAGAGUCUGCCCUUUCCCCCACCUCAGUUGCCAGCAUCUGAAAUAAAGUAAACUUACCUUUCCACAAAACUUGUCUUGCUAUUGGCUUUUGAGGGGUGAGUAGCCAGACCUCCACUUUUGGUUACACUUCCUACAGGGGCAGCCUUGGAAAGGAGGCAGGACAGAGGUUCAGGAAGGCAAAUGAAGGAGAGAAGGGCUCUUCAAUCUUCGUCCUUCAACAGUAACAACUGACAUGGACAGAGGACUGUCUUUUGCCAGACACCAUCCUGAGAGCCUUAACAUGUAAC